ACGGGCCACUCGUACAUUUCAAUUCUGGGCGCGCGUCCGCUCCCACCUGACGACCGCUAGCUUUCUUGUGUUGGCC
RNAcentral lists this small RNA (76 nucleotides) under Xanthomonas arboricola. RNAcentral's name for it is "sX9 sRNA". It matches the Rfam family "Xanthomonas sRNA sX9". Lineage: Bacteria; Pseudomonadati; Pseudomonadota; Gammaproteobacteria; Lysobacterales; Lysobacteraceae. The record is from RNAcentral.